Molecule: long non-coding RNA, 1079 nt
Organism: Diceros bicornis minor
Lineage: Eukaryota; Metazoa; Chordata; Mammalia; Perissodactyla; Rhinocerotidae
Exons: 3
Source: RefSeq, a predicted model, not a curated record
CCACAACAAUGGCCGCCGCCAAUGUCCCAGUCCCUGGAGAGGUCUCACCCCUCACCGAGAUGCACUCAGAGCCUAUUAGUCAUAGGUGCAUCAAAAUAUAGCCAGCUCUCUUGCAGAGAUGAGAUUUCUUGAGAAGAAAGCAUAAGGAUCAAGAGACUUAGCAGGACUCAGAAUAAUGACUGCAGAGGCCCAGUCAAGAAGGUGUUGGGGCCACAGAAGCAUCCAAGUAGAAGUUUCGCUGUGACCAUGCUAUGGCCAAAGCUACAUGAAAAUCAGUCUGUAAGCAUCGUAAAUAUAAGGUCUAGAAGAAAUAUGCAUACGCACACAGAAUGCUUCACAAUCUUGUGAUAAUCUCACAUGAUGAAGCAGACUCCUAUACAGAAGCUGUUUUAUUUUCUUCAUGCUUUCACUGAAAUUACCAACUAUUUCCCCAAAGCCUUGUUAUCCUUUUACCCCCCACCAUAACACAUAUGUGUUUUACGUUAAAUAAUUGAAACCUAUUGAAAAUUCCCUCCAGGUAAACAUAUCUUCCAAGUUUUGACCAUUGCUUGGUAGGGAGAGAAAAAAAGGAGUUGGGAACAAGAAGAUUGGAUCCUUUUCCAGGAAACAAUAUAAUGGAAACAAAAGACCCUAUGAUGACCUGAGUAUCUAGCAGUAGCAGUAGAACUUUAGAAAUCUAAAUGUCUUUUCUGAAUUAUAUCAUAUCUUCAAAUUAUUGCCUCUUGUAGCUGCUUCUUAGGGCAAGUAGAUACCAGAUAAGUACAAGUCAAAGAUUUGGUGAUAGCUCCUACUGAGUUCCAACUCGGUGUUUUCUUACUGUGUUUCAUCUUGCUUUUGAGUAUGAAUUUGUGUCACAGACACAAUUAGUAGUUUCCACAUUAACAGCACAAGCCUAUAGUGAGCACUGGUUUCUCCCGCAGUUCUUAAACAUCUGUGAUUCCUGGACACAGAGUCCAAGCUUCCCCUCAGAGAUUCUCAGUUUAUCUGGAUUGGGGCCCAGGCUUCCGCGUCAUUAAAUGCUCCCCAGGUUAGUCCCACCAUUAUCAGGUUUAGGAAUCACAGGCAAAGUCCACCCACGU